UGCGAGUGAGCGGGAAAGCUCAAAUUUAAAAUCUGGCGGUCUUUGGCCGUCCGAGUUGUAAUCUAGAGAAGCAUUAUCCGCGCUGGACCGUGUACAAGUCUCCUGGAACGGAGCGUCAUAGAGGGUGACAAUCCCGUCUUUGACACGGACUACCAGGGCUUUGUGAUGUGCUCUCAAAGAGUCGAGUUGUUUGGGAAUGCAGCUCUAAAUGGGUGGUAAAUUCCAUCUAAAGCUAAAUAUUGGCGAGAGACCGAUAGCGAACAAGUACCGUGAGGGAAAGAUGAAAAGAACUUUGGAAAGAGAGUUAAACAGUACGUGAAAUUGCUGAAAGGGAAACGCUUGAAGUCAGUCGCGUUGGCCAGGGAUCAGCCUUGCUCUUUUGCUUGGUGCACUUCCUGGUUGACGGGCCAGCAUCAGUUUUGACCGGUGGAUAAAGGCUAGGGGAAUGUGGCAUCUUCGGAUGUGUUAUAGCCCUUGGUCACAUACAUCGGUUGGGACUGAGGAACUCAGCACGCCGCAAGGCCGGGUCUUUUGACCACGUACGUGCUUAGGAUGCUGGCAUAAUGGCUUUAAUCGACCCGUCUUGAAACACGGACCAAGGAGUCUAACAUGCCCGCGAGUGUUUGGGUGGAAAACCCAUGCGCGUAAUGAAAGUAAAAGCCGAGAUCCCUGUCGUGGGGAGCAUCGGCGCCCGGCCCAGACCUUUUGUGACGGUGCCGCGGUAGAGCGUGUAUGUUGGGACCCGAAAGAUGGUGAACUAUGCCUGAAUAGGGUGAAGCCAGAGGAAACUCUGGUGGAGGCUCGUAGCGAUUCUGACGUGCAAAUCGAUCGUCGAAU
Molecule: ribosomal RNA, 837 nt
Filed under: Lyophyllum semitale
Lineage: Eukaryota; Fungi; Basidiomycota; Agaricomycetes; Agaricales; Lyophyllaceae
Description: partial 28S ribosomal RNA
Rfam family: Eukaryotic large subunit ribosomal RNA
Source: RNAcentral